Molecule: long non-coding RNA, 739 nt
Organism: Zingiber officinale
Lineage: Eukaryota; Viridiplantae; Streptophyta; Magnoliopsida; Zingiberales; Zingiberaceae
Exons: 4
Source: RefSeq, a predicted model, not a curated record
CUAAAACGCCGUUCCACCCUUUUCCUUCCCCGACCCCGUGCACACUCUCUUCUUCCUCUGUUCUCUCUCUCACGGACGGGCGGCACCGAAGAGAUUAGGGUUUCCAGCUCCAGCGAUUUCCUCUACCGGCAUCGGUGGUCGUUGAGCUUAUAUCCGGGCGGUGCUAUUCCCCUCUGGAUCACAGACACGGCGUUGCGUCUCCUAGCCGAUUGUCGACUUUUCCUUCCCGAUCUGACGCCGCUGGAUCAAUCCAAAUUCAUCGAUCACCGACGUGAAUAUGCAGUUAGGGCUCUGAGGAUCACCGACGCCCAAUUUCAACGAUUCACCUGAGACGAUCGAGAUAGGUCAUUUUCCUUGGACACCCUUACUCCUCUGUCGGUGCUAGAUCUUGGCAGACGCUGGCUAGUUGAGGGUCAGUACCUUCUCUGGUACGCUGCUUCGUGGUUGGAUCGGAUUGGGCGACUUCUUUUGGAGACAACCGAUUAAAGUGAAGUUAGGUUCUGUGAUUCGUAAGGUGAAUCCAUCAGUGAGGAUCUGUUGAGGGUGAUCUUUCCAGUAGUGUUUCCCUGUCGACAGCACUUCAACCAGCAUCAAUAGUGGUUGUUAAUUGAGGAUUUUGUCUGGUCAGAUCACUAUGUUUUCCAGCAGAUUACCUGGUAUUCCAGUGGUUGAAUUGAGGAUUCUGAUUCGAGACAGGCGUCUCGACGUUGACUUCGGAUUUGGGAUUGUACCUUCUAUU